ACAGCAAUGAGAUGCAAUGGCUUUUGAUCAGCUCAGCCCUUCCUCAGCAAGCCUUACACAGAGAGAUAGCCGUGUUCUUGAUGAUGCUCUGGCCCUUGGGUGAGGCCCCACAGUUCUUGCACAGUGAGACAAUGGGUGAAGACAUUGUGGACUUGCCUGUAUCUGCUUGGGGCCAAUGUGGAAUUUGUUGAGGACAUUGCUGAGGAACUUCUGUACCUCGUGCCAGGGGUAGAUACUGUUUGAUCCAUCCAACAGGAUCACAAUGUCCAUGGAGACACCACAAUCUGUAAAAGGGACAGAGAGUAUUACAGAGAUGUAAAUAUACAGUUAACACAGAAAGUAGGAUUAAGUGUACCAAGAUCUCUAGGCUUGAUAUUUAGACCCUCUCCCAGAGCUUAACAGUCCAGUUCUGCCAUCAUAACACUGAUAUCUCAAAGCAUCCCUAAAUCACACUGUGGUCUGUUUUAUCACUGGUGUAAUAAAGGGUUGUAUUAAU
Carcharodon carcharias (great white shark) is the source of this 496-nucleotide long non-coding RNA. RefSeq lists it as uncharacterized. The transcript is spliced from 2 exons. NCBI's taxonomy places the organism in Eukaryota, Metazoa, Chordata, Chondrichthyes, Lamniformes, Lamnidae. The record is from RefSeq and is a predicted model, not a curated record.